GGCAAACCAGCUUAAGGAUCUAGCAUCGGUUCCCAUAUAGGACCCUAUAGAUAAAAGGCUCGUCCAAAGGGCAGAUGGGCAACCGAACAACCGAAGUAAGACCCUAUUUGUGACAAAGGAGCUUACGAACCCUGAACAAGUUCCCAUCUAAGACCCUAUGGACGAAAAAUCUUGUCCAAAGGGUAGAAGGGCAACAGAAUGACAAUUGUCAAAGUAUAUUGAUGGAAAACCAAAUGAUGCUUCCCACUUUAUCAAUGAACAGAGUUUGAAAUUGAUAAAGGCCACAGAGAAACGGCCUAGGCAACACAUCCCACCUAUGGAAAACCUUAUCCAAAAGGGUAGGGGGCUGCCAAUGGGGUUAUAUUCAUGAAAUACCAGUCUAGUCUUUGUUGUUGCGUUACCAAAUGAAUAGGAAUUCCGUAACCCACAAAUUACGUUAAUCUAAAUUCAAAUUUCGAAAUGGCGAACGGACAGAUGAGUAAUCAAACAGAAACUAGUUACGAAUACCCAAUUUGUUGUAUAGACUUUCCGGACAAGAUGAAGUUUGAAAUAUGUCGUCUGUAAUCUCUAAAGAACUCAACAUAUUUCCCAACAUCAUGUAAAUAUUCUUGGAAAACAAAUUAUGAGUGGAGAUAAGGACAUACAAUACCAUUAAUCAUAUCACUCUCAAAAGGUUUUACAAUCCAACAAAAAAACUUACGAUCGGGCAAACUUGGAGAUGGCAGAUGAUUGA
Molecule: long non-coding RNA, 733 nt
Filed under: Linum usitatissimum (flax)
Lineage: Eukaryota; Viridiplantae; Streptophyta; Magnoliopsida; Malpighiales; Linaceae
Description: long non-coding RNA (LUSI_LNC002034)
Source: RNAcentral